RNAcentral lists this ribosomal RNA (464 nucleotides) under Vreelandella stevensii. RNAcentral describes it as "partial 16S ribosomal RNA". It matches the Rfam family "Bacterial small subunit ribosomal RNA", at positions 338 to 795 of the family's 1533-position model. The record is from RNAcentral. Lineage: Bacteria; Pseudomonadati; Pseudomonadota; Gammaproteobacteria; Oceanospirillales; Halomonadaceae.
CCUACGGGUGGCAGCAGUGGGGAAUAUUGGACAAUGGGGGGAACCCUGAUCCAGCCAUGCCGCGUGUGUGAAGAAGGCCCUCGGGUUGUAAAGCACUUUCAGUGAGGAAGAACGCCUGGUGGUUAAUACCCAUCAGGAAAGACAUCACUCACAGAAGAAGCACCGGCUAACUCCGUGCCAGCAGCCGCGGUAAUACGGAGGGUGCGAGCGUUAAUCGGAAUUACUGGGCGUAAAGCGCGCGUAGGUGGCUUGAUAAGCCGGUUGUGAAAGCCCCGGGCUCAACCUGGGAACGGCAUCCGGAACUGUCAAGCUAGAGUGCAGGAGAGGAAGGUAGAAUUCCCGGUGUAGCGGUGAAAUGCGUAGAGAUCGGAGGAAUACCAGUGGCGAAGGCGGCCUUCUGGACUGACACUGACACUGAGGUGCGAAAGCGUGGGUAGCAAACAGGAUUAGAUACCCGAGUAGUC